Molecule: ribosomal RNA, 815 nt
Filed under: Sarcocystis sp. 1 GM-2017
Lineage: Eukaryota; Apicomplexa; Conoidasida; Eucoccidiorida; Sarcocystidae
Description: SSU rRNA
Rfam family: Eukaryotic small subunit ribosomal RNA
Source: RNAcentral
GGAUCGCAUUAUGACUUUCGGGUCGGCGAUGGAUCAUUCAAGUUUCUGACCUAUCAGCUUUCGACGGUACUGUAUUGGACUACCGUGGCAGUGACGGGUAACGGGGAAUUAGGGUUCGAUUCCGGAGAGGGAGCCUGAGAAACGGCUACCACAUCUAAGGAAGGCAGCAGGCGCGCAAAUUACCCAAUCCUGACUCAGGGAGGUAGUGACAAGAAAUAACAACACUGGAAAUUCUUUUUCUAGUGAUUGGAAUGAUGGGAAUCCAAACCCCUUUCAGAGUAACAAUUGGAGGGCAAGUCUGGUGCCAGCAGCCGCGGUAAUUCCAGCUCCAAUAGCGUAUAUUAAAGUUGUUGCAGUUAAAAAGCUCGUAGUUGGAUAUCUGCUGGAAGCAGCCAGUCCGCCCUUUGUGGGUGUGCACUUGGUGAAUUCUGGCAUCCUCCUGAUUGGUGUCAUCAUCACUUCAUUGUGUUGGUGGCAGCUGUCAGGACCGUUACUUUGAGAAAAUUAGAGUGUUUCAAGCAGGCUUGUUGCCUUGAAUACUGCAGCAUGGAAUAACAAGAUAGGAUUUCGGUUCUAUUUUGUUGGUUUCUAGRACUGAAGUAAUGAUUAAUAGGGACAGUUGGGGGCAUUCGUAUUUAACUGUCAGAGGUGAAAUUCUUAGAUUUGUUAAAGACGAACUACUGCGAAAGCAUUUGCCAAAGAUGUUUUCAUUAAUCAAGAACGAAAGUUAGGGGCUCGAAGACGAUCAGAUACCGUCGUAGUCUUAACCAUAAACUAUGCCGACUAGAGAUAGGAAAAAGUCAUCCUUGACUCUC